UACAGAGGGUGCAAGCGUUGUUCGGAAUUAUUGGGCGUAAAGGGAGUGUAGGCUGUCUUGUAAGUCUUCUGUGAAAUCUACGGGCUUAGCCUGUAACGUGCAGAGGAAACUGCGAGGCUUGAGUGUUGGAGAGGACAGUGGAAUUCCCGGUGUAGAAGUGAAAUUCGUAGAGAUCGGGAGGAACACCAGUGGCGAAGGCGACUGUCUGGCUGACAACUGACGCUGAGACUCGAAAGCAUGGGGAGCAAACAGG
RNAcentral lists this ribosomal RNA (253 nucleotides) under uncultured bacterium. RNAcentral's name for it is "partial 16S ribosomal RNA". It matches the Rfam family "Bacterial small subunit ribosomal RNA", at positions 524 to 776 of the family's 1533-position model. The record is from RNAcentral.